Molecule: long non-coding RNA, 935 nt
Organism: Leopardus geoffroyi (Geoffroy's cat)
Lineage: Eukaryota; Metazoa; Chordata; Mammalia; Carnivora; Felidae
Exons: 2
Source: RefSeq, a predicted model, not a curated record
UGCCCUGCCCGCUUGCUAGCAGACUGACAGCUGCACAGACGCGGCAGAGCUGGGCAGGAGGGGUGAAGCGGGGGGAGAAAGGGACCGCUUGCAGGCUUACAUGGGCAGAGUCUUAUUUGGGGAUCUGGGCCCACAUGGGCUCUGCACGGAAGCUCUCCCCGGCCCCCUUCCGAGUGACACGGCAAAGUGAAGCCCGCUGCCCCCACGGCGGUCACGGUCAGUCGCGAGAUGCAGUUAACGGCGGCCACGGGGUAAGUGCUGGUCAGUGAGACACGAUCCGAAGUGGGACACACGACUUCACACUUUGCCACCUUCUCUCUCUUGCAGACUAGACUGUGGGCGUGACGGCCGGAGGCUGAGCAACCUUCUUGGGGCAGAAAACAAAUGCCGAGGGAAGGGCAGGUGGGAAGAGGGAGCCUGGAGCCUAGGUCUUCAAGACUCUGAAUGGCCACUUUAGCUCCGGACAAGCUCCCUCUGACUUCUCUUAUGAUGGAGAGAACUAUCUUGUGGAAGCCACUUUUGCUUAUCUGUUGAUUUCCGUUGUGCACAUUUGGACCUGAUCCGAACAGAUACUUCUGAGAAAGGAUUCUUCUGGCCAUCACGCACCAGCAGAAAAGACUCUCCGGGUGGUAAUAGGACCAACGGAUUCUCAUCCUAGACAAUCAGAAAAGUUUGUUCUGUUUUCAAGUUAUUUUGCUAUUGUUUUUGUUUAUUCUUUUUUCUUUUUCUUUUCUGGUCUUUCUGUGGUUUUUUUUUCCCCCUCUUUUUUUGCAUGCCCGUUCAGAACAUUAGACAAAGUCUCCCUUGGGUCCCUGCCUUUUUCUUUUCGAUUCUGUUUCUGAAAGGCUUUCUGCCUGGAGAUAAAUGCUUUAUGAUUUUGUUUUAAUCCUUGAAAUGUGUCAACGCAAAAGACUUCUUGUCAGUUUUGCUGUAAA